UAAUUGAAGAGUUUGAUCAUGGCUCAGAUUGAACGCUGGCGGCAGGCCUAACACAUGCAAGUCGAGCGGUAACAGGGGAAGCUUGCUUCUCGCUGACGAGCGGCGGACGGGUGAGUAAUGUAUGGGGAUCUGCCCGAUAGAGGGGGAUAACUACUGGAAACGGUAGCUAAUACCGCAUAAUCUCUCAGGAGCAAAGCAGGGGAACUUCGGUCCUUGCGCUAUCGGAUGAACCCAUAUGGGAUUAGCUAGUAGGUGAGGUAAUGGCUCACC
RNAcentral lists this ribosomal RNA (270 nucleotides) under Providencia rettgeri. RNAcentral describes it as "partial 16S ribosomal RNA". It matches the Rfam family "Bacterial small subunit ribosomal RNA", at positions 1 to 269 of the family's 1533-position model. The record is from RNAcentral. Lineage: Bacteria; Pseudomonadati; Pseudomonadota; Gammaproteobacteria; Enterobacterales; Morganellaceae.